RNAcentral lists this ribosomal RNA (505 nucleotides) under uncultured bacterium. RNAcentral describes it as "partial 16S ribosomal RNA". It matches the Rfam family "Bacterial small subunit ribosomal RNA", at positions 28 to 507 of the family's 1533-position model. The record is from RNAcentral.
GACGGACGCUGGCGGCGUGCCUAACACAUGCAAGUAGAACGCACCGUUCAUACCGUAGCUUGCUCCACCAUAGACUGUGAGUUGCGCACGGGUUAGUAACGCGUAGGUAACCUGCCUGGUAGCGUGAGAUAACUUUUUGAAACGAUAGCUAAUACCGCAUAAUAUUAAUUAUUGCAUGGUAAUUAAUUGAAAGGUGCAAUUGCACCACUACCCGAUGGACCUGCGUUGUAUUAGCUAGUAGGUGAGGUAACGGCUCACCUAUGCGACGAUACAUAGACGACCUGAGAGGGUGAGCGGCCACGCUGGGACGGGAGCACGACCCGGACCCCUACGGGAGGGAGAAGGAGGGGAUCCUCGGCAAUGGACGAAAGGCUGACUGAGCAACGCCGCGCGAGUGACUGAGCUAGUCGUGUCGUGUAGGUCUGUAGGAAGAGAGGAUCGUGAGGGAGAUUGGAAAGGGCAGACUGUGACGGUACCGUACCAAUAAGGGACGGCUAACUACGUG